RNAcentral lists this ribosomal RNA (353 nucleotides) under uncultured bacterium. RNAcentral's name for it is "partial 16S ribosomal RNA". It matches the Rfam family "Bacterial small subunit ribosomal RNA", at positions 338 to 683 of the family's 1533-position model. The record is from RNAcentral.
CCUACGGGUGGCUGCAGUGGGGAAUAUUGCGCAAUGGGCGAAAGCCGGACGCAGCGACGCCGCGUGAGGGAUGAAGGUCUUCGGAUCGUAAACCUCUGUCAGCAGGGAAGAACGGUCACUGUGCUAAUCAGCAGUGAAUUGACGGUACCUGCAAAGGAAGCACCGGCUAACUCCGUGCCAGCAGCCGAGGCAAUACGGGGGGUGCGAGCGUUAAUUGUCAUUACUGGGCGUAACGCGCUCGUAGGCGGUAUGUCAAGUCAAGGGUGAAAUCCCCGCGCUCAACGUGGUAACUGCCUUUGAAACUGGAAAACUGGAGGGUGUGAGAGGAUAGUGGAAGUCCAGGUGUAGGAGUG